RNAcentral lists this ribosomal RNA (465 nucleotides) under Vreelandella stevensii. Its description in RNAcentral is "partial 16S ribosomal RNA". It matches the Rfam family "Bacterial small subunit ribosomal RNA", at positions 338 to 795 of the family's 1533-position model. The record is from RNAcentral. Lineage: Bacteria; Pseudomonadati; Pseudomonadota; Gammaproteobacteria; Oceanospirillales; Halomonadaceae.
CCUACGGGAGGCAGCAGUGGGGAAUAUUGGACAAUGGGGGGAACCCUGAUCCAGCCAUGCCGCGUGUGUGAAGAAGGCCCUCGGGUUGUAAAGCACUUUCAGUGAGGAAGAACGCCUGGUGGUUAAUACCCAUCAGGAAAGACAUCACUCACAGAAGAAGCACCGGCUAACUCCGUGCCAGCAGCCGCGGUAAUACGGAGGGUGCGAGCGUUAAUCGGAAUUACUGGGCGUAAAGCGCGCGUAGGUGGCUUGAUAAGCCGGUUGUGAAAGCCCCGGGCUCAACCUGGGAACGGCAUCCGGAACUGUCAAGCUAGAGUGCAGGAGAGGAAGGUAGAAUUCCCGGUGUAGCGGUGAAAUGCGUAGAGAUGGGGAGGAAUACCAGUGGCGAAGGCGGCCUUCUGGACUGACACUGACACUGAGGUGCGAAAGCGUGGGUAGCAAACAGGAUUAGAUACCCUAGUAGUC